AUUGAACGCUGGCGGCAUGCCUUACACAUGCAAGUCGAACGGUAACGCGGGGGCAACCCUGGCGACGAGUGGCGAACGGGUGAGUAAUACAUCGGAACGUGUCCUGUUGUGGGGGAUAACCCAUCGAAAGGUGAGCUAAUACCGCAUGAUCUGGAGACAGCAAAGCAGGGGACCGGUAACGGCCUUGCGCGAUUGGAGCGGCCGAUGUCCGAUUAGCUAGUUGGUGGGGUAAAGGCCCACCAAGGCAACGAUCGGUAGCUGGUCUGAGAGGAUGAUCAGCCACACUGGGACUGAGACACGGCCCAGACUCCUACGGGAGGCAGCAGUGGGGAAUUUUGGACAAUGGGGCAACCCUGAUCCAGCCAUGCCGCGUGAGU
Molecule: ribosomal RNA, 377 nt
Filed under: uncultured bacterium
Lineage: Bacteria
Description: bacterial SSU rRNA
Rfam family: Bacterial small subunit ribosomal RNA
Source: RNAcentral